Bombina bombina (fire-bellied toad) is the source of this 1396-nucleotide long non-coding RNA. RefSeq lists it as uncharacterized. The record is from RefSeq and is a predicted model, not a curated record. Lineage: Eukaryota; Metazoa; Chordata; Amphibia; Anura; Bombinatoridae. The transcript is spliced from 5 exons.
UGAGCAUGUGAGCUAAUGUAAGGAGAUAGGGGCCGAUAUAAACUGCAUGUGAGAAGGGUAAGGUAUGAGCAUGUGAGCUAAGGUAAGGAGAGAGGGGCCAAUAUAAACUGCAUAAGGAGAAGGGUAAGGUAUGAGCAUGUGAGCUAAUGUAAGGAGAGAGGGGCCGAUAUAAACUGCAUGUGAGAAGGGUAAGGUAUGAGCAUGUGAGCUAAGGUAAGGAGAGAGGGGCCGAUAUAAACUGCAUGUGGAGAAGGGUAAGGUAUGAGCAUGUGAGCUAAGGUAAGGAGAGAGAGGCCGAUAUAAACUGCAUGUGAGAAGGGUAAGGUAUGAGCAUGUGAGCUAAGGUAAGGAGAGAGGGGCCGAUAUAAACUGCAUGUGAGAAGGGUAAGGUAUGAGCAUGUGAGCUAAGGUAAGGAGAGAGGGGCCGAUAUAAACUGCAUGUGAGAAGGGUAAGGUAUGAGCAUGUGAGCUAAGGUAAGGAGAGAGGGGCCGAUAUAAACUGCAUGAGGAGAAGGGUAAGGUAUGAGCAUGUGAGCUAAGGUAAGGAGAGAGGGGCCGAUAUAAACUGCAUGAGGAGAAGGGUAAGGUAUGAGCAUGUGAGCUAAGGUAAGGAGAGAGGGGCCGAUAUAAACUGCAUGUGAGAAGGGUAAGGUAUGAGCAUGUGAGCUAAGGUAAGGAGAGAGGGGCCGAUAUAAACUGCAUGUGAGAAGGGUAAGGUAUGAGCAUGUGAGCUAAGGUAAGGAGAGAGGGGCCGAUAUAAACUGCAUGAGGAGAAGGGUAAGGUAUGAGCAUGUGAGCUAAGGUAAGGUAAGGAGAGAGGGGCCGAUAUAAACUGCAUGUGAGAAGGGUAAGGUAUGAGCAUGUGAGCUAAGGUAAGGAGAGAGGGACCGAUAUAAACUGCAUGUGAGAAGGGUAAGGUAUGAGCAUGUGAGCUAAGGUAAGGAGAGAGGGGCCGAUAUAAACUGCAUGUGGAGAAGGGUAAGGUAUGAGCAUGUGAGCUAAGGUAAGGAGAGAGGGGCCGAUAUAAACUGCAUGUGAGACGGGUAAGGUAUGAGCAUGUAAGCUAAGGUAAGGAGAGAGGGGCCGAUAUAAACUGCAUGAGGAGAAGGGUAAGGUAUGAGCAUGUGAGCUAAGGUAAGGAGAGAGGGGCCGAUAUAAACUGCAUGAGGAGAAGGGUAAGGUAUGAGCAUGUGAGCUAAGGUAAGGAGAGAGGGGCUGAUAUAAACUGCAUGUGAGAAGGGUAAGGUAUGAGCAUGUGAGCUAAGGUAAGGAGAGAGGGGCCGAUAUAAACUGCAUGUGAGAAGGGUAAGGUAUGAGCAUGUGAGCUAAGGUAAGGAGAGAGGGGCCAAUAUAAACUGCAUGUGGAGAAGGGUAAGGUAUGAGCAUGUGAGCUAAG